Molecule: long non-coding RNA, 944 nt
Filed under: Ananas comosus (pineapple)
Lineage: Eukaryota; Viridiplantae; Streptophyta; Magnoliopsida; Poales; Bromeliaceae
Description: long non-coding RNA (ACOM_LNC005023)
Source: RNAcentral
AAGUUUAUUUAGGAUCUGUUUGGCUUAGCAACCGGAGAAAUAAUUUUUGCAUAAUUAAUUUUAGUUUGAAAAAUUAAUUUUGGUUAUAAGUUGUAGAGCGUUGGUUGAGUUUAGAUACAAAGCAAUUUUUUGAAGUAAUUUUGUAAAACUGUUUUGGCAAAAUUUUUUUAUUAUUUGCAAAUAAUAAAUUUUUUUACUAAUUUUUAAAUUAUUUAAAUUUAAAUUUUGAAAGUUUAAAUUUAAAUCUAAACAAAAUUUUAAAUUUUAAUAUUCUAAUUUUAAAAAUAAAAAGUAAAACUUAAAAAUUAAAACAUUUCCACUUAAAAUAUAAAAUAUAAAAUAUAAAUUUUAAAUUUUAAAUUUCAAAUUUCAAUUUAAAAUCUCAAUUUAAAAUCUAAAUUUAAAUUUUAAAUUUUUAAAUUUGAAAGAAUUUAAACUUUGACAUGUCAACAUAUAAAACUUAAAAUAUAAAAUAUAAAGAGGCAAUUACUUAUAUACUUCUGAAAAGUUUCUGACUUUCUGAUUUAGCCCUCUUAGAAGUUUAAUAUUGAAAAUACUCUUUUUACAUUCCAACCAAUUAGCAAUAUACCCCUAGAGUUAAAUUCUAUUAAUGAACUGUUAGCAAUAGCUGUGAUCUCUAUAAAAUUACUAUUUUGCCCUUUCAAAUAUACCUUUCUACCAUCACCAACUUUUCUUAUUUGCCCUUAAGUUAGGGCUACAAAAAGUAUUUUGAUUUUUGGUCUUUUCAAAUAAUUCCUUCUACCAUCACCAACAUUUCUUAUUUGUCCUUAAAUUAAGGGCAAAAGAGGCAUUUUGAUUUUUUUUAACUCUGGAAGAUAACUAGUUUACGUUUAAUCUAAGUUAACUUAAGGGGUGGUAACUAUAGAAGUAUUUUGGAAUAACAGAUGAACAUAUAAGAGUUAUAUUGAAAAGAAAAAAAAAAG